This 501-nucleotide ribosomal RNA is filed under the name uncultured bacterium. RNAcentral's name for it is "bacterial SSU rRNA". It matches the Rfam family "Bacterial small subunit ribosomal RNA", at positions 23 to 518 of the family's 1533-position model. The record is from RNAcentral.
CUCAGGAUGAACGCUAGCGACAGGCCUAACACAUGCAAGUCAGGGGCAGCACAGGAGCAAUCUGAGGUGGCGACCGGCGCACGGGUGAGUAACACGUAUGCAACCUGCCUGUAAGCCGGGGAAUAACCCGUUGAAAGACGGACUAAUACCGCAUAAUACUAAAUUACUGCAUGGUAAUUUAUUUAAACAUUUAUGGCUUACAGAUGGGCAUGCGCAUGAUUAGCUAGUUGGAGAGGUAACGGCUCCCCAAGGCAACGAUCAUUAGGGGUUCUGAGAGGAAGGUCCCCCCACACUGGUACUGAGACACGGACCAGACUCCUACGGGAGGCAGCAGUGAGGAAUAUUGGUCAAUGGACGAGAGUCUGAACCAGCCGAGUCGCGUGCAGGAAGAAUUGUCCUAUGGAUUGUAAACUGCUUUUGCAGGGGAAUAAAGUGCAUCACGUGUGAUGUUUUGUAUGUACUCUGCGAAUAAGGAUCGGCUAACUCCGUGCCAGCCGCUGC